RNAcentral lists this ribosomal RNA (482 nucleotides) under uncultured bacterium. Its description in RNAcentral is "partial 16S ribosomal RNA". It matches the Rfam family "Bacterial small subunit ribosomal RNA", at positions 30 to 507 of the family's 1533-position model. The record is from RNAcentral.
AUUGAACGCUGGCGGCAUGCCUUACACAUGCAAGUCGAACGGUAACAGGUCUUCGGAUGCUGACGAGUGGCGAACGGGUGAGUAAUACAUCGGAACGUGCCCAGACGUGGGGGAUAACGAGGCGAAAGCUUUGCUAAUACCGCAUACGAUCUAAGGAUGAAAGCAGGGGACCGCGAGGCCUUGCGCGUUUGGAGCGGCCGAUGGCAGAUUAGGUAGUUGGUGGGAUAAAAGCUUACCAAGCCGACGAUCUGUAGCUGGUCUGAGAGGACGACCAGCCACACUGGGACUGAGACACGGCCCAGACUCCUACGGGAGGCAGCAGUGGGGAAUUUUGGACAAUGGGCGAAAGCCUGAUCCAGCAAUGCCGCGUGCAGGAUGAAGGCCUUCGGGUUGUAAACUGCUUUUGUACGGAACGAAAAGGCUCUGGCUAAUACCUGGGGCACAUGACGGUACCGUAAGAAUAAGCACCGGCUAACUACGUG